This 409-nucleotide ribosomal RNA is filed under the name bacterium. RNAcentral describes it as "partial 16S ribosomal RNA". It matches the Rfam family "Bacterial small subunit ribosomal RNA", at positions 355 to 776 of the family's 1533-position model. The record is from RNAcentral.
UGGGGAAUAUUGCACAAUGGGCGAAAGCCUGAUGCAGCGACGCCGCGUGAGGGAUGACGGCCUUCGGGUUGUAAACCUCUUUCAGUAGGGACGAAGCGCAAGUGACGGUACCUGCAGAAGAAGCACCGGCUAACUACGUGCCAGCAGCCGCGGUAAUACGUAGGGUGCGAGCGUUGUCCGGAAUUACUGGGCGUAAAGAGCUCGUAGGCGGUUUGUCACGUCGUCUGUGAAAUCCUAGGGCUUAACCCUGGACGUGCAGGCGAUACGGGCUGACUUGAGUACUACAGGGGAGACUGGAAUUACUGGUGUAGCGGUGGAAUGCACAGAUAUCAGGAAGAACACCGAUGGCGAAGGCAGGUCUCUGGGUAGUAACUGACGCUGAGGAGCGAAAGCAUGGGUAGCGAACAGG